UACGGAGGGUGCAAGCGUUAAUCGGAAUUACUGGGCGUAAAGCGUGCGUAGGCGGCUGAUUAAGUCAGAUGUGAAAGCCCCGGGCUUAACCUGGAAACGGCAUUUGAUACUGGGCAGCUCGAGUUGAGUAGAGGAGAGGUGAAUUUCCGGUGUAGCGGAGAAAUGCGUAGAGAUCGGGAGGAACACCAGUGGCGAAGGCGGCUCUCUGGACCAAUACUGACGCUGAGACGCGAAAGCGUGGUGAGCAAACAGG
Molecule: ribosomal RNA, 253 nt
Filed under: uncultured bacterium
Lineage: Bacteria
Description: partial 16S ribosomal RNA
Rfam family: Bacterial small subunit ribosomal RNA
Source: RNAcentral